ACGAUUCCAGCUCGCGCCUCUCCCUCCACACCUGCAUGCAAGCUGAGGGAGCUGGCUCCGGCCUUGGCCAGCCCAGAAAGGGGCUCCCACAGUGCAGCGGUGGGCUGAAGGCCUCCUCAAGUGCCGCCAAAGUGGGAGCCCAGGCAGAGGAGGCGCCGAGAGAGAGCGAGGGCUGUGAGGACUGCCAGCAGGCUGUCACCUCUCACUUCUGGGCUACAAACAUGGACAGCAUGUACUGAGGACUGGAGGCAACUGUAAUGCAACGGUAAGAGUUUUGUAGCUAAACCUAUCUAAACAUAGAAAAGAUACAGUAAAAAUAUGGCAUAAAAGAUUUAAAAAUGGUAUACUUGCAUAGGGGACACAUCAUAAAUGGACUAAAAGUUGCCCUGGGUGAGUGCGUGAACGGUGAGUGAAUGUGAAGUCCGAGGACAUUACUGUAUACUACAAUAGAUUUUAUAAAUUGUAAACUUAGACUACACGAAAUUUAUAAAGAAAUUUUCUUUCUUCAAUCAUAAUGAACCUUAGCUUAUCAUAACUUUCUUACUUUAUAAACCUUUUAAUUUUUAGAACAUUUUGACUCUGGUAAUAAUAACACAAAUGCAUUGUAUAGCUGUAAAAAUAUUUUCUUUCUUUAUAUUCUUAUUCUAUAAACUUUUCUAUCUAAAAUUUUAUUUAUUUAUUUUACUUUUUGUUAAAGGCUAAAACACAAAUACAUUAGUGUAGGCCUACACAGGAUCAGGAUCACCAAUAUCACUGUCUUCUACCUCCACAUCUUGUCCAAAUGGAAGGUCUUCAGGGGCAAUAGCAUCACGGAGCUGUCAUCUCCUGUGAUCAAAAUGCCUUCUUCUGGAAGACCUCCUGAAGGAGCUACUUGAGGCUGUUUUACAGUUAUCAUUUUUGUUGUUAUAAACAGAUAAUUACACUAUAAAAUAAUGAACAAAAGUCACUGCAGUAGGUUUGUUUAUACCAGCCUUCCUACAAACAUGUGAAUUAUGCACUGUGUUGUGACUUGUAACAGCUAUGCUGUUACUAGGUGAUAGAAACUUUUCAGCUUCAUUAUAAUCUUAUGGGACCACUGUCAAAUAUGCAGUUGGCAGAAAUACCCUUAUGUGGAACAUGACUGUUCUGAAAAGGACUGUUAUGAAAAGGAAAAACAAAUGUACUUUUAGCCUCGGAAGCCUACUAGGUAUGAUGAGCAUAACAAGAUCCCUGAGUUGAGAUUUCUGUUGUAGAAAGCUGCUUCAAAUAAGCCUUCGUGAGAACUCAAAGGUUUGCGACUAUGACUAUCAAAAAGCCACAAUUUGCAUUGCCCAGACCACAGCUUAUAUCUUACUGAAAACAUAAACAUGAAACUAAAUAUGAACCAUGUGGCCUAGAUUUUUAGCUAUCAAUACUUUUCUUUCUUUUUCCCCCACUUUGUACAAAGAAUACUUUGAUUUCUUCCAUCACAUUUCUUUUUCUUUGCAACUUGCAUCAAACACAGGCACCAUGCACAUGUACUUUGUUUGGGAUCCAGUGUUCCUCUCUUUACAAGUCAAUCCCUGAGGAUAGAUAGGGAGCAGCCAGUUGCUGAGCGCGAGAGCUUUCUUUUUCCCUAUGAAGUUCACUAAGAAGUACCCAAGGGGCUGUCUGCAGUUCAUUAUUACCGGAUAGGGCCUGAGCGGUGACCUUUCACUUCUGACCUGUGGAUCUAACUCUAGCAUUGUUUUUAGUGAGCAUGCUCACUAAAAACUUGGGGAUCAUCUGUAUCAAUGGAUAUCCUCAGAAGUUUUUAUUUUCUCUUUCUGUCAAACAAGCAAGUGAUAAUCUUGAUGUCUUAUGAAAGUCUUUGUACCAGUGUUUAUCAUUAAAAUAGCUAUGUCUAAAAUCCUGUGGGCUUACAUAGAAAAUAACUAAGUGUAGCCAAACACAUAUCAGGCAUUCCAGGUUCAAAUCCUAGCUAGGUGAGUUGGGGCAAGUUGUUCACUGGGCUACAGUUUCUUUGGCUACAAAGAGACGUGGUUGCCAAAGUCUGUCCAUCUCUAAUGUUGGAUAACAUCAACUAUGUGCAAAUUGUAAAUUUAGAAUUCUGCAAAAAUCCUAAAUUGCGUAGUUUGAGUGCUUAUUAUAUGGUUAAGGGAUUUUAAGACAGUCAUUUAACAAACAUCAAUUGCCCUCAUCCCAUGCACCGGGCAGACUUAUAGGUGCUAGAAUAGGACAUAGAGCAAGACAGACAUGAUUCGUACAAUCCCUGGACAAAUGUGCUGGUGGUAAAACUGGCCUGAGGUCCCACCAUGAUUAAGUAAUAAAGCCAGUUUUGAACUCAGGUCUGUAGGAUUACAACAUGCUUGUUCUUAUUCCCUAAGCUUUAUUGUCUCCUGACAUUGAAAGACCAAGGCUUUACGUCCCUGGCUUUGUCUUACAGGGACACAAAUGUGGUGGUGAUGGCUAGGAGGGCCUUUUCAUUCUUGAAGUUUAGCCCAAUAGGAAUUCAAUAUAUUCAUUGAAAAAGCAUCUAUUGACUGUCACCAUAAUUCUGGGAAUAUGGGAAAUUGUAGCAUGACACUGUAUUUCUAUUUAUACCUUCCUCAUAUCAGUGCAGAGUUAAUAUUGAGCCCUAUUUUCCCAACAUUUAUGCUACUUCCCCUGUACUUUACCUCUGUAAUAGGUCUGCUAUCAAGAUAAGUGAGGACAUUACAAAUUCUCCUGAAAGAAUGGACUCUAUAAAAUUAAGUAUUUCUUCUACUUAGUGUCAGAUCAGUGUGUUCUUCAGCAAAGACGUCACACUCAGAAUAAAAACCAACAACAAAAACAACAAGUGAACAGAACUUAGCAUUAUAAUUUACUAGCCUUUUGGAUUUG
Molecule: long non-coding RNA, 2841 nt
Filed under: Homo sapiens (human)
Lineage: Eukaryota; Metazoa; Chordata; Mammalia; Primates; Hominidae
Description: HSALNT0318553
Source: RNAcentral